This 465-nucleotide ribosomal RNA is filed under the name uncultured bacterium. RNAcentral describes it as "partial 16S ribosomal RNA". It matches the Rfam family "Bacterial small subunit ribosomal RNA", at positions 28 to 507 of the family's 1533-position model. The record is from RNAcentral.
GACGAACGCUGGCGGCGUGCUUAACACAUGCAAGUCGAACGGAAAGGCCCUGCUUGCAGGGUCCUCGAGUGGCGAACGGGUGAGUAACACGUGGGUGAUCUGCCCUGCACUUCGGGAUAAGCCUGGGAAACUGGGUCUAAUACCGGAUAGGAGCCAUUUUUAGUGUGAUGGUUGGAAAGUUUUUUCGGUGUAGGAUGAGCUCGCGGCCUAUCAGCUUGUUGGUGGGGUAAUGGCCUGCCAAGGCGGCGACGGGUAGCCGGCCUGAGAGGGUGGACGGCCACAUUGGGACUGGGACUCGGCCCAGACUCCGACGGGUGGCAGCAGUGGGGAAUGUUGCACUAUGGGCGCGAGCCUGAUGCAGCGACGCCGCGGGGGGGAGGACGGCCUUCGGGUUGGAAAUUCCUUUCGCUAGUGACGAAGCUGUUUGUGACGGUACCUAGAUAAGAAGCACCGGCUAACUACGUG